UUGAGAAGGAAGCGGAUGCCGCCGUUGCCUAUGCUGAUUGUAGGAUUGCUGCUCGCUCCUGUCUUCUGCUACUCAUUCACAGACCUGGUCGUGUUGAGCAUUUGUUUGGCAUAUGUUAGUGGUGUUUCCUACUUUCAGUCGUCAGCAUCACUGGCUGAGUGGAAAUAAUCCUUGGAUGCUAAUUGGUUCUCUAUCUGUGAAUUGGUUGCUUCCUUGCGAUACUCACUACUCGGUCAGUGAGGAAGUGCGUUUGCUGGUCAACGAGCUUUCUAACUGUCAUUACCCUGCGCUUUUCUAUUCGUCUAGUGACCAGGAUGUGGCUUUGAGAUUGUUCGCACUUAGAAAUCCCGAUGCUGGCUUCCAACGGUUGCCUCCAGCCCGUCUUGAAACACGGACCAAGGAGUCUAACGUAUGUGCGAGUGUGUGAGUGGCAAACUUAUACGCGUAAUGAAAGUGAGGCCGUAUGGCCAUGUUGGGGUCACCAACAACCGACCUUGAUCUUCUGUGAAAGGUUUGAGUAUGAGCAUAUCCGUUAGGACCCGAAAGAUGGUGAACUAUGCCUGAGCAGGGUGAAGCCAGGGGAAACUCUGGUGGAGGCUCGUAGCGAUACUGACGUGCAAAUCGUUCGUCAGACUUGGGUAUAGGGGCGAAAGACUAAUCGAACCAUCUAGUAGCUGGUUCCCUCCGAAGUUUCC
This 695-nucleotide non-coding RNA is filed under the name Perkinsus marinus ATCC 50983. RNAcentral describes it as "Eukaryotic large subunit ribosomal RNA". It matches the Rfam family "Eukaryotic large subunit ribosomal RNA", at positions 408 to 971 of the family's 3401-position model. Lineage: Eukaryota; Perkinsozoa; Perkinsida; Perkinsidae. The record is from Rfam by way of RNAcentral.